GGAAUUGUUCGCAAUGGGCGCAAGCCUGACGACGCAACGCCGCGUGGAGGAUGAAGAUCUUCGGGUCGUAAACUCCUUUCGAUCGAGACGAAUUCUUCGGGGGUGAACAAUCCCCGGCAAUGACGGUACCGAGAGAAGAAGCCCCGGCUAAACCCGUGCCAGCAGCCGCGGUAAUACGGGGGGGGCAAGCGUUGUUCGGAAUUACUGGGCGUAAAGGGCUCGUAGGCGGCCAACUAAGUCGGACGUGAAAUCCCUCGGCUCAACCGGGGAACUGCGUCCGAUACUGGAUGGCUUGAGUUCGGGAGAGGGAUGCGGAAUUCCAGGUGUAGCGGUGAAAUGCGUAGAUAUCUGGAGGAACACCGGUGGCGAAGGCGGCAUCCUGGACCGGCACUGACGCUGAGGAGCGAAAGCCAGGGGAGCAAAC
Molecule: ribosomal RNA, 424 nt
Filed under: uncultured bacterium
Lineage: Bacteria
Description: bacterial SSU rRNA
Rfam family: Bacterial small subunit ribosomal RNA
Source: RNAcentral